GAUGAACGCUGACGGCGUGCCUAAUACAUGCAAGUCGAGCGAACGGACGAGAAGCUUGCUUCUCUGAUGUUAGCGGCGGACGGGUGAGUAACACGUGGAUAACCUACCUAUAAGACUGGGAUAACUUCGGGAAACCGGAGCUAAUACCGGAUAAUAUUUUGAACCGCAUGGUUCAAAAGUGAAAGACGGUCUUGCUGUCACUUAUAGAUGGAUCCGCGCUGCAUUAGCUAGUUGGUAAGGUAACGGCUUACCAAGGCAACGAUGCAUAGCCGACCUGAGAGGGUCAUCGGCCACACUGGAACUGAGACACGGUCCAGACUCCUACGGGAGGCAGCAGUAGGGAAUCUUACGCAAUGGGCGAAAGCCUGACGGAGCAACGCCGCGUGAGUGAUGAAGGUCUUAGGAUCGUAAAACUCUGUUAUUAGGGAAGAACAUAUGUGUAAGUAACUGUGCACAUCUUGACGGUACCUAAUCAGAAAGCCACGGCUAACUACGUG
Molecule: ribosomal RNA, 497 nt
Filed under: uncultured bacterium
Lineage: Bacteria
Description: partial 16S ribosomal RNA
Rfam family: Bacterial small subunit ribosomal RNA
Source: RNAcentral